RNAcentral lists this ribosomal RNA (253 nucleotides) under uncultured bacterium. RNAcentral describes it as "partial 16S ribosomal RNA". It matches the Rfam family "Bacterial small subunit ribosomal RNA", at positions 524 to 776 of the family's 1533-position model. The record is from RNAcentral.
UACGUAGGAGGCGAGCGUUGUCCGGAGUUACUGGGCGUAAAGGGUGCGUAGGCGGCCGCGCGCGUGGCGGGUGAAAUCUCUCGGCUUACCCGGGAGGGUGCUUGCCAGACGGCGCGGCUUGAGGGACGGAGAGGGGCGUGGAAUUCCGGGUGGAGCGGUGAAAUGCGUAGAGAUCCGGAGGAACACCGACGGCGUAGGCAGCGCCCUGGCCGUUACCUGACGCUGAGGAGCGAAAGCGUGGGGAGCGAACAGG